UACGGAGGGUGCGAGCGUUGUUCGGAAUUACUGGGCGUAAAGCGCGUGUAGGCGGCCUCCUAAGUCUGGUGUGAAAGCCCGGGGCUUACCCCCGGAAGUGCACUGGAUACUGGGAGGCUUGAGUACCGGAGAGGAGGGUGGAAUUCCUGGUGUAGCGGUGAAAUGCGUAGAUAUCAGGAAGAACACCGGUGGCGAAGGCGGCCCUCGGGACGGAUAAUGACGAUGAGACGCGAAAGCGUGGGGAGCAAACAGG
This 253-nucleotide ribosomal RNA is filed under the name uncultured bacterium. RNAcentral's name for it is "partial 16S ribosomal RNA". It matches the Rfam family "Bacterial small subunit ribosomal RNA", at positions 524 to 776 of the family's 1533-position model. The record is from RNAcentral.